RNAcentral lists this ribosomal RNA (247 nucleotides) under uncultured bacterium. RNAcentral describes it as "partial 16S ribosomal RNA". It matches the Rfam family "Bacterial small subunit ribosomal RNA", at positions 523 to 769 of the family's 1533-position model. The record is from RNAcentral.
AAACGUAGGAGGCUAGCGUUAUCCGGAUUUAUUGGGCGUAAAGCGCGUGCAGGCGGUUUGAUAAGUUGGAUGUGAAAUCUCCCGGCUUAACUGGGAGCGGUCGUUCAAAACUAUCAGACUAGAGAAUGGGAGAGGAAGGUGGAAUUCCGGGUGUAGUGGUGAAAUGCGUAGAUAUCCGGAGGAACACCAGUGGCGAAAGCGGCCUUCUAGACCAUUUCUGACGCUAAGACGCGAAAGCUAGGGUAGC